CAAAGUAUAGCUUAUAUAAAGCAUCUAGUUUACACCCAGAAGAUUUCACAUUAAAUGAAUACUUUGA
RNAcentral lists this transfer RNA (67 nucleotides) under Rhinopoma hardwickii (Lesser mouse-tailed bat). Its description in RNAcentral is "tRNA-Val". It matches the Rfam family "tRNA". Rfam says of the family: Transfer RNA (tRNA) molecules are approximately 80 nucleotides in length. Their secondary structure includes four short double-helical elements and three loops (D, anti-codon, and T loops). The record is from RNAcentral. Lineage: Eukaryota; Metazoa; Chordata; Mammalia; Chiroptera; Rhinopomatidae.